AAAAACUUACGGGCCCCGUACGGGGUGUCGAACGCAAGUUGCGUUAGCACCCACAAGGUACAAACCACGAUGGUCAACUUCCAAUUAGCUGCCAUCGCUAAUCGGGACUAAGAACUUAUAGAAACAAUUAAGGGGGAGUUUUGGGGCGAGGCCCCGGGCGCGAAGCGCCAUUCGGGGGCCCGAGCCCCCGGGGUUCACUGCUGUCAGUCAGUCAGUGGCUUACAUAUCUCGCCCCGCAAAAAAUAGCGUUUGAAUGCUAUAUCCAUUCUAUUCGGAAUGCCAAAGAAGACACUCCAGAUAAAUCGGAGCGCGACAAAGAUAGCUUUCCAUGGCUCCGAGUUUGACAUAAACUUACAUAUCUCGCUCCGCAAAAGAUUGAAUGUAGAAGCUAUAUCCAUACUACAUCCCCCUGCCAAAGGAGACAUUCCAGAUAAAUGGAGCGCGACAAAGAUAGCUUUCCAUGGCUCCGAGUUUGACAUAAAGUUACAUAUGUCGCUCCGCAAAAGAUUGAAUGUAGAAGCUAUAUCCAUACUACAUCCACCUGCCAAAGGAGAAAUUCCAGAUAAAUCGGAGCGCGACAAAGAUAGCUGCACCGGGGCCGAGCCCCUUUUCGGCUUUGAGAAGCCGCCCCCCUAGUCUUUUAGGGCCAACUCAGUCUUAAAGGCCCUUAAACGGCUAAAUUGGGGCAACAUUUCUGGUGUUGUGGCAUACCUGUGUAGUUGAAUGUGAACCCUGGCCACCAAGCACAUAGGAAAGGAAUGUUGAAUAAGUUGAUACUAUGGUGUGGCACGACAGUAGUCGCGUACAGCAGGGAAUGCACCGCAGAUGUUGCGUGUUGGAAGAAUCAGCGGCCCUCACUGUCGUAUGUUAGGUAUCACACGUGCCAGACGUGCCAUGCCAAGCUGGUGCAGUGCAGUGCACGGCCCGCUGGCCCGCUUGCUCUACACUUCGUGAGUCUGGAGGCCCCCCAGGUAACAACCACGCACAAUGCCACGCGCAACAGCAGCUCUCACGGGUCUAAGAGUCUGGUUUUCAUUUUUUUCAUUUUCCCUCCGAAAGGAACUCUCCUUGACGCGCACCGGGAAGCAGGAACUGGCAAGAAAGCGUGCCAAAGGGUUGCGGAAUGAUGGCCGGGACAGCGGGUUCCUUUCAGCCAAUCGUGUAGCCAAUGACGUAGCACGUAGGCGUUAAGUAACUCGUAGAACUCCAGUUGAUUUCAAUCCGCAGCAGCACGCACUUCAUCGUGUAAUGCACCCUCAGAGAGAGACCGAUGCGAGGUGACUUCGUUCAGUUGCAUGAAAGAGAAUGUUGUCGGAGGGGUCUUUUAUUUGUUAAGAAGUUUGUGUGUCCAGCUGGCAGAUGAGGGAGUAGAGGCUCUCGCGCGAGGCCCUACCCGGCGGGCGUUUCACAGCUUUCGUUGGGCAGAACACGGCUUACGUCGUCCAGUAAGUUUGACUUUACACACUUCUCGUUAAAUAUACCGGCGGCCCAUCCGUCUGUUGGCUCGCUUGGCCGUAAGGGCUGUUGAAUGAAGCUCGUUUCAUGAGAGGGCUGUUGAAUGAAGCUCGUUUCAUGAGACAGAUAUUUG
Molecule: long non-coding RNA, 1588 nt
Filed under: Volvox carteri
Lineage: Eukaryota; Viridiplantae; Chlorophyta; Chlorophyceae; Chlamydomonadales; Volvocaceae
Description: long non-coding RNA (VCAR_LNC002802)
Source: RNAcentral